This 1724-nucleotide ribosomal RNA is filed under the name Streptomyces sp. SP18CM02. RNAcentral's name for it is "partial 23S ribosomal RNA". It matches the Rfam family "Bacterial large subunit ribosomal RNA", at positions 1 to 1527 of the family's 2925-position model. The record is from RNAcentral. Lineage: Bacteria; Bacillati; Actinomycetota; Actinomycetes; Kitasatosporales; Streptomycetaceae.
ACAGUGGACGCGAGCAUCUGUGGCCAAGUUUUUAAGGGCGCACGGUGGAUGCCUUGGCACCAGGAACCGAUGAAGGACGUGGGAGGCCACGAUAGUCCCCGGGGAGCUGUCAACCAAGCUUUGAUCCGGGGGUUUCCGAAUGGGGAAACCCGGCAGUCGUCAUGGGCUGUCACCCGCUGCUGAACACAUAGGCAGUGUGGAGGGAACGAGGGGAAGUGAAACAUCUCAGUACCCUCAGGAAGAGAAAACAACCGUGAUUCCGGGAGUAGUGGCGAGCGAAACUGGAUGAGGCCAAACCGUAUGCGUGUGAUACCCGGCAGGGGUUGCGCAUGCGGGGUUGUGGGAUCUCUUUUUCAUAGUCUGCCGGCUGUGAGGCGAGUCAGAAACCGUUGGUGUAGGCGAAGGACAUGCGAAAGGUCCGGCGUAGAGGGUAAGACCCCCGUAGCUGAAACAUCAACGGCUCGUUGGAGAGACACCCAAGUAGCACGGGGCCCGAGAAAUCCCGUGUGAAUCUGGCGGGACCACCCGCUAAGCCUAAAUAUUCCCUGGUGACCGAUAGCGGAUAGUACCGUGAGGGAAUGGUGAAAAGUACCGCGGGAGCGGAGUGAAAUAGUACCUGAAACCGUGUGCCUACAAGCCGUGGGAGCGUCGCGCAUCGAGCUUGCUCGGUGCGUCGUGACUGCGUGCCUUUUGAAGAAUGAGCCUGCGAGUUAGCGGUGUGUAGCGAGGUUAACCCGUGUGGGGAAGCCGUAGCGAAAGCGAGUCCGAACAGGGCGGUUGAGUUGCACGCUCUAGACCCGAAGCGGAGUGAUCUAGCCAUGGGCAGGUUGAAGCGGAGGUAAGACUUCGUGGAGGACCGAACCCACCAGGGUUGAAAACCUGGGGGAUGACCUGUGGUUAGGGGUGAAAGGCCAAUCAAACUCCGUGAUAGCUGGUUCUCCCCGAAAUGCAUUUAGGUGCAGCGUCGUGUGUUUCUUGCCGGAGGUAGAGCACUGGAUAGGCGAUGGGCCCUACCGGGUUACUGACCUUAGCCAAACUCCGAAUGCCGGUAAGUGAGAGCGCGGCAGUGAGACUGUGGGGGAUAAGCUCCAUGGUCGAGAGGGAAACAGCCCAGAGCAUCGACUAAGGCCCCUAAGCGUACGCUAAGUGGGAAAGGAUGUGGAGUCGCAGAGACAACCAGGAGGUUGGCUUAGAAGCAGCCACCCUUGAAAGAGUGCGUAAUAGCUCACUGGUCAAGUGAUUCCGCGCCGACAAUGUAGCGGGGCUCAAGCGUACCGCCGAAGUCGUGUCAUUCACACAUAUAGGGCCAACGCCUGUGUGGAUGGGUAGGGGAGCGUCGUGUGCCGGGUGAAGCAGCCGCGGAAGCGAGUUGUGGACGGUUCACGAGUGAGAAUGCAGGCAUGAGUAGCGAUACACACGUGAGAAACGUGUGCGCCGAUUGACUAAGGGUUCCUGGGUCAAGCUGAUCUGCCCAGGGUAAGUCGGGACCUAAGGCGAGGCCGACAGGCGUAGUCGAUGGACAACCGGUUGAUAUUCCGGUACCCGCUUUGAAACGCCCAGUACUGAAUCAGGCGAUGCUAAGUCCGUGAAGCCGGCCCGAUCUCUUCGGAGUUGAGGGUAGUGGUGGAGCCGAUGAACCAGACUUGUAGUAGGUAAGCGAUGGGGUGACGCAGGAAGGUAGUCCAGCCCGGGCGGUGGUUGUCCCGGGGUAAGGGUGUAGGACG